UAAGGAAUAUUGGUCAAUGGACGCAAGUCUGAACUAGCUAUGCCGCGUGAAGGAUGAAGGUCCUCUGGAUUGUAAACUUCUUUUAUCUGGGACGAAAAAGGGGCAUUCUUGCUCAACUGACGGUACCAGAGGAAUAAGCACCGGCUAACUCCGUG
RNAcentral lists this ribosomal RNA (155 nucleotides) under uncultured bacterium. RNAcentral's name for it is "partial 16S ribosomal RNA". It matches the Rfam family "Bacterial small subunit ribosomal RNA", at positions 355 to 507 of the family's 1533-position model. The record is from RNAcentral.